CAGAAAAUAGUUUAAUUAGAAUAAUGGCUUUGGGGGCUAUAGGGUUAUUUUCUGA
This 55-nucleotide transfer RNA is filed under the name Riccardoella tokyoensis. Its description in RNAcentral is "tRNA-Pro". The record is from RNAcentral. Lineage: Eukaryota; Metazoa; Arthropoda; Arachnida; Trombidiformes; Ereynetidae.